This 253-nucleotide ribosomal RNA is filed under the name uncultured bacterium. RNAcentral describes it as "partial 16S ribosomal RNA". It matches the Rfam family "Bacterial small subunit ribosomal RNA", at positions 524 to 776 of the family's 1533-position model. The record is from RNAcentral.
UACGAAGGGUGCUAGCGUUGUUCGGAAUCACUGGGCGUAAAGCGCGCGUAGGCGGCUUAACAAGUCAGAGGUGAAAUGCCAGGGCUCAACCCGGGAACUGCCUUUGAAACUGUUAAGCUUGAGACUCGGAGGGGAUAGCGGAAUACCUAAUGUAGCGGUGAAAUGCGUAGAUAUUAGGUGGAACACCGGUGGCGAAGGCGGCUAUCUGGACGAGUACUGACGCUGAGGCGCGAAAGCGUGGGGAUCAAACAGG